AUACGAAGGGGGCUAGCGUUGUUCGGAAUAACUGGGCGUAAAGCGCACGUAGGCGGAAUGUUAAGUUAGGGGUGAAAUCCCAGGGCUCAACCCUGGAACUGCCUCUAAUACUGGCAAUCUAGAGACCGAGAGAAGUGAGUGGAAUUCCGAGUGUAGAGGUGAAAUUCGUAGAUAUUCGGAGGAACACCAGUGGCGAAGGCGGCUCACUGGCUCGGUACUGACGCUGAGGUGCGAAAGUGUGGGGAGCAAACAGGAUUAGAUACCCCGGUAGUCC
Molecule: ribosomal RNA, 274 nt
Filed under: uncultured bacterium
Lineage: Bacteria
Description: partial 16S ribosomal RNA
Rfam family: Bacterial small subunit ribosomal RNA
Source: RNAcentral